Beta vulgaris subsp. vulgaris (sugar beet) is the source of this 2970-nucleotide long non-coding RNA. RefSeq lists it as uncharacterized. The record is from RefSeq and is a predicted model, not a curated record. The transcript has 9 exons. NCBI's taxonomy places the organism in Eukaryota, Viridiplantae, Streptophyta, Magnoliopsida, Caryophyllales, Amaranthaceae.
UCUAAAAUAAUUUUCGUUUCUCCUCAUUAGGCAUUCUCUCUCUCCAUUGUUUUCCCUGCUUCCCAAGUCUCCCGACUCUCUCAAUUGGACCCUCUCUGAAUUGAAACCUCCAUCGUCUUUCCCUCAAACAUCCCUCCUUCCCAAGUUCCCCUCUCUCUCAAGUCCGCCGCAGUUCAAUGGGUUGCAUCAUAAGGCGUCGACCUCGCUAUUUCUUUAAUCAAAUUGCCAAGCUCCGUCCUUUAGGUUUGAUUUUCUCCUAAUUUUUAGGGUUUUUUUAAAUUACUCGAAUCAAUUUUAGGGUAUAAUUUAAAGUACCAAUCGAAGAGAGUGCAUUGGCCAAUCGAAGAAAUCGAAGUAUGAAACCCUAGAUCCGAGAAGAAAAUCAAGAGCACAAAGCAUGAAACCUUAGAUUUGAAAAGAAAUCAAGACCAGUAAAAAGGCCGAUAAAGAAAGGGAAAAGGAGAAGAAGAGACUCUGAAUUAGUUGAACUUGUUCUUCAUUUGAAGCUUAAAAAGCCUAAAUUAAUGGAUAAGAGGUGGAUGAAGAAGAUAAAGCGCAAAACCCUAAUUCACUUUCGAAUUUUCAUUUUUUUUACAGCCGUUGAAAUAUGUUUUCGUUUUUUUAAUGGAUGAACUUUGGUAUGGCUAUGAAUGGUUGUGAAUGGUUGUGAUUUGGUCACUCGUGCGUGAAUUGGCCAGGUUUGUUUUCAUUGUUUAGUUCAGUGAUUGAUUUCAUGUUUGUUUGCAAAAUUCAGUUUUUUUUUUCUUUACGAAGUUAGUAGGAUUAAUUUUGGUUGACUGAUCCUAACUUAGGGUUCAGCUUUUGCAGAACUUCUGGGACUACAUAUGCAAACAUUUUGAGUGAGUAGGUGGCUAUCUGUCUGUUGGCAGAGAUGCUUGAUAGAGCUUGGAGAUUACAACAGCAACAUAAGAGUAUUAGUCAGUGAAGAUUGACACACAAACUCUUUUGGUAACAACUUCUCUGCAAUGUGUUGUGUAAGUUAUACAAUGAUGUUGAGAAGCAUCAAAGCAACUAUAUAUGGCUGCAAAUUUGCAAUGUGGAUGUCGAAAUAAUUUAUUAUGGGUUGCUAUCUUGCCUACAGAGUCAUUAAUGUUCUCUUGCAUUGUUAUCUGGUUAUGGUUGACAAAAGCUAUUUAAAUGAAACAUGGGUAACCAUACUAUUUACCUAACUAGCGAGCUAAAAAAUGAAGUAUAGAACAACAACCACCUUAACAUCAAGCAACCUGUAUAAUACCUAGCAUGUUUGUUUACGAGCAAUUAUUACUCUGCUAGUAACUUAUAACUCGUGUUCGGUUAUCUAAAAUCCCUUAUUCAACAACCUUUAUACUGCUAGUAACUUAUAAUUAACUCGUUUAAUGUGUAGUUUAUAUAAUGAAUUUGAAGGAUGCAGCAAAUAGAGCUAAAAAUGACAAAGAUUGUAUAGCUACUUUCAAGGAGAAAGCAAAGGAGUCGUAAGAAGUAAAAACAUUUCUGAAAUCCUGGGAUGAAAGUUUUCAAUUUUUCAAAAGUUGGAGAUUGUCGAUGACUAGUGACCGACGUAGUUCGAGUUGAUCCUAAUUUCGAAAUGGAUUACCUUUUCUGGUUCUAUAGUACGAAGAAAUAUGGAUAAGAUAUAGAACCCUCACGUGUUUCUAGAUGUGUCAACUGGUGGGGAUCCUGUCCAAAGAAACGUAAUAGAGGUUCUACAGGAUAAAGAAAUAUGGAUAAGAUAUAGAACCCUCAUGUGUUUUUAGAUGUAUCAACUGGUGGGGAUCUUGUCCAAAGAAUCGUAAUAGAGCUUUUGCCUGAUUUGGUUACUAAUAAAUCUGUAGAAAACUUAUGGGUACUCUACACAGGUGUGAAAGGUGUUGGAGGUACUAUGACGAAACCUUUACACUUCAAGAGAACGAAUUUCCACCUCAUAAUUAAAGGAUUUAUGGCCCAAGUACUUCCUCUUUUACCAUUAUCAUUUUUGGUUGAUCUUAUCUAUUUGUAUAGGCUUUAUGCUUGGAUCUCUCAGUUUAGAAGGGCUUGCAACUUUUAGCUUACCAAGAACAAAUUAUCUUUGUUUCUAUCUUGUAUUAAAUCUUCGUACCCCGCUCAAAUACUUAGCGAGAACAAAUUAGCUUUAUCUUUAUACCUCGCUCAAAUACUUUAGAGAUAUUGAGUCAGCGAUGUUUGGGUGACAAUCCUUUGUAAGAAGCUUGAUUGAUUGGUGGCUCUGGGCAAGUUGUGGAAGGUGAAAUUCCACAAAUUGGGUAUCACCAUUUGCUUCUUCACUCUGACCCCCUAUUUUUCUCUUUUUAUUUUGAGUAAUUUGACUGCUGAGGUGUUGCAGAUUCUUGUGGAGAGAAGAAAUAUCCGGAUACAAGGAAAUAGAUCCAACUAUACAUUUGUCGAUGCUACCUGAUUUGGGUUCUAAUAUCAAUGAUGCCCUAAAGCAAGGGGAUUGAAUCUCUAAUUUUCGUAAAGAUAAGGUAUAAUGGAAACUCAGUGAUCGGUCAUAGAGAAGCAAACUAUGUCAUUUUGAAACAGAAGCAGAAGGGCAAAUUUUGUCUCGAUCUGCAAUAAACCAAUCUAAAGUGGAAGACUCUUGCUACCAAUCUUGAGGAAUUUCGUAAAGUUUCGGAGAAAUAUUCAUCUUGCCAAGUUAGAGUUAAGGCAGCAGUGCAUGAGACUAUUGAAACUGACGUAAUUCAUGUACUUGAGGAAGUGCCGAAAAAAAAGGAGAGAGAUGUGAAGUGACGCCAGAGACAAGAGGCUUUUCUCAAUAGUUCUUACACCUAUGCAGCUGCAGUCACUCGUUCUUGUCGCACACGCAGACUUGCAAAAUAGACAUUUGGUAUGCUGUGAACAUUCUUCACUACUAGAACUAUCACUUGUUGUAAAUAAUAUAUUCACGAGUAAAUGGCGCAAAGUUUGCCUCUUCUUAUCAAAUGUUUAUAAAUUUUCUCACUUGUACUUUGUAAG